AGUGCUUUUUAAUUUUCCAACAGCUUUUGUUCUCUCUCCAGUGUUGUUGAAGUAACUAACAACUUUCCUGACUCCUGAGUCACAGAACUUGGCAGCCUGAUGUAAUUUUUAAGUCUAUCACUUUUUUCCCCUCUCUUUUGUUUUUUUUACUUUGGUAGGUUGGUGUUCUUGUCGCAGCUUCGUUGGGCACGCUCGCUGUUUUUGCAGCGAUAGUUGCAGAGAUUUUAAAGGUAGCCUUUUCCUAUU
Molecule: unclassified non-coding RNA, 246 nt
Filed under: Hevea brasiliensis (rubber tree)
Lineage: Eukaryota; Viridiplantae; Streptophyta; Magnoliopsida; Malpighiales; Euphorbiaceae
Source: RNAcentral